AAGCCGUGAUUAGGAAACCUUUUUAACAUCAAUUUAAAACGUUCCCAAGCUUCACAAGAAGGUUCAUCUGGCCCUUGCCUGAAUGUGGAGAUAUCAGAUUUAGCCU
Phaseolus vulgaris (common bean) is the source of this 106-nucleotide non-coding RNA. Lineage: Eukaryota; Viridiplantae; Streptophyta; Magnoliopsida; Fabales; Fabaceae. The record is from Rfam.